CCUACGGGUGGCAGCAGUGGGGAAUAUUGCACAAUGGGCGAAACCCUGAUGCAGCGACGCCGCGUGAGUGAAGAAGUAUCUCGGUACGUAAAGCUCUAUCAGCAGGGAAGAAAAUGACGGUACCUGACUAAGCAGCCCCUGCUAACUACGUGCCAGCAGCCGCGGUCAUACUUAGGGGGCAAGCGUUAUCCGGAUGUACUGGGUGUAACGGGAGCGGAGACGGCAGUACAAGUCUGGAGUGAAAUCCCUGGGCUUAACCCCGGAACGGCUUUGGAAACUGGGCGGCUGGAGUGCAGGAGGGGUAAGCGGAAUUCCUGGUGUAGCGGUGAAAUGCGUAGAUAUUAGGAGGAACACCGGUGGCGAAGGCGGCUUACUGGACUGUAACUGACGUUGAGGCUCGAAAGCGUGGGGAGCAAACAGGAUUAGAUACCCGGGUAGUC
Molecule: ribosomal RNA, 440 nt
Filed under: uncultured bacterium
Lineage: Bacteria
Description: partial 16S ribosomal RNA
Rfam family: Bacterial small subunit ribosomal RNA
Source: RNAcentral